GAUGAACGCUGGCGGCGUGCCUAAUACAUGCAAGUCGAGCGAACGGACGAGAAGCUUGCUUCUCUGAUGUUAGCGGCGGACGGGUGAGUAACACGUGGAUAUCCUACCUAUAAGACUGGGAUAACUUCGGGAAACCGGAGCUAAUACCGGAUAAUAUUUUGAACCGCAUGGUUCAAAAGUGAAAGACGGUCUUGCUGUCACUUAUAGAUGGAUCCGCGCUGCAUUAGCUAGUUGGUAAGGUAACGGCUUACCAAGGCAACGAUGCAUAGCCGACCUGAGAGGGUGAUCGGCCACACUGGAACUGAGACACGGUCCAGACUCCUACGGGAGGCAGCAGUAGGGAAUCCUCCGCAAUGGGCGAAAGCCUGACGGAGCAACGCCGCGUGAGUGAUGAAGGUCUUCGGAUCGUAAAACUCUGUUAUUAGGGAAGAACAUAUGUGUAAGUAACUGUGCACAUCUUGACGGUACCUAAUCAGAAAGCCACGGCUAACUACGUG
This 497-nucleotide ribosomal RNA is filed under the name uncultured bacterium. RNAcentral's name for it is "partial 16S ribosomal RNA". It matches the Rfam family "Bacterial small subunit ribosomal RNA", at positions 28 to 507 of the family's 1533-position model. The record is from RNAcentral.